Molecule: ribosomal RNA, 497 nt
Filed under: uncultured bacterium
Lineage: Bacteria
Description: partial 16S ribosomal RNA
Rfam family: Bacterial small subunit ribosomal RNA
Source: RNAcentral
GAUGAACGCUGGCGGCGUGCCUAAUACAUGCAAGCCGAGCGAACAGAUAAGGAGCUUGCUCCUUUGACGUUAGCGGCGGACGGGUGAGUAACACGUGGGUAACCUACCUAUAAGACUGGGAUAACUUCGGGAAACCGGAGCUAAUACCGGAUAAUAUUUCGAACCGCAUGGUUCGAUAGUGAAAGAUGGUUUUGCUAUCACUUAUAGAUGGACCCGCGCCGUAUUAGCUAGUUGGUAAGGUAACGGCUUACCAAGGCGACGAUACGUAGCCGACCUGAGAGGGUGAUCGGCCACACUGGAACUGAGACACGGUCCAGACUCCUACGGGAGGCAGCAGUAGGGAAUCUUCCGCAAUGGGCGAAAGCCUGACGGAGCAACGCCGCGUGAGUGAUGAAGGUCUUCGGAUCGUAAAACUCUGUUAUUAGGGAAGAACAUACGUGUAAGUAACUGUGCACGUCUUGACGGUACCUAAUCAGAAAGCCACGGCUAACUACGUG